UACGGAGGGUGCAAACGUUGCUCGGAAUCAUUGGGCGUAAAGCGCACGUAGGCGGCUUCUUAAGUCGGGUGUGAAAGCCCUCGGCUCAACCGAGGAAGUGCAUUCGAAACUGAGGGGCUUGAAUACUGGAGAGGAAGGCGGAAUUCUCGGUGUAGAGGUGAAAUUCGUAGAUAUCGAGAGGAACACCGGUGGCGAAGGCGGCCUUCUGGACAGUGACUGACGCUGAGACGCGAAAGCGUGGGGAGCAAACAGG
This 253-nucleotide ribosomal RNA is filed under the name uncultured bacterium. Its description in RNAcentral is "partial 16S ribosomal RNA". It matches the Rfam family "Bacterial small subunit ribosomal RNA", at positions 524 to 776 of the family's 1533-position model. The record is from RNAcentral.